GAUGAACGCUAGCUACAGGCUUAACACAUGCAAGUCGAGGGGAAACGAUAUUGGAAGCUUGCUUCCGAUAGGCGUCGACCGGCGCACGGGUGAGUAACGCGUAUCCAACCUGCCCACCACUUGGGAAUAACCUUGCGAAAGUAAGACUAAUGCCCAAUGAUAUCUCUAGAAGACAUCUUAAGGAGAUUAAAGCUUUAUCGGUGAUGGAUGGGGAUGCGUCUGAUUAGCUUGUUGGCGGGGUAACGGCCCACCAAGGCGACGAUCAGUAGGGGUUCUAAGAGGAAGGUCCCCCACAUUGGAACUGAGACACGGUCCAAACUCCUACGGGAGGCAGCAGUGAGGAAUAUUGGUCAAUGGGCGAGAGCCUGAACCAGCCAAGUAGCGUGCAGGAUGACGGCCCUAUGGGUUGUAAACUGCUUUUAUAAGGGAAUAAAGUUAGUCUCGUGAGACUUUUUGCAUGUACCUUAUGAAUAAGGACCGGCUAAUUCCGUGCCAGCCGCCGCAGUAA
RNAcentral lists this ribosomal RNA (508 nucleotides) under uncultured bacterium. Its description in RNAcentral is "partial 16S ribosomal RNA". It matches the Rfam family "Bacterial small subunit ribosomal RNA", at positions 28 to 523 of the family's 1533-position model. The record is from RNAcentral.